Molecule: ribosomal RNA, 286 nt
Filed under: uncultured bacterium
Lineage: Bacteria
Description: partial 16S ribosomal RNA
Rfam family: Bacterial small subunit ribosomal RNA
Source: RNAcentral
AUCACCUACGGGAGGCAGCAGUGGGGGAUAUUGCACAAUGGGGGGAAUCCUGAUGCAGCGACGUCGCGUGGGCGAUGGAGUGCAUCGGCAUGUAAAGCCCUAUCAGCAGGGAAGAAACUGACAGUACCUGACUAAGAAGCCCCGGCUAACUACGUGCCAGCAGCCGCGGUAAUACGUAGGGGGCAAGCGUUAUCCGGAUUCACUGGGCGUAAAGGGAGCGCAGGCGGCACGGCAAGCCUGGUGUGAAAACCCGGGGCCCAACCCCGGGAGUGCAUUGGGAACUGCC